GGCUGAACGCCUGUCAGGAGGAGGCCCACCUGGUAUUAACCCGUGACGGACAGAGACAGAGAUGAUGGGAAGGUAGAGAUAGGAUGAUGGCUGCCUCGACGGAACAGAAGGUCCAGACCCACGGGCUGUGCCGUGAGACACAAGCCAGGAAGCAGCCGUGCAAAUUCAGGGUCAGUGCGGCCCCAGCGGAGGACGUCCCCCACCCACUGCAGGGAAUAUGGGGUCUGGGGUCAGAGCCACCCUCCCCAGAAGAGCACUUCUCUUUCUCCGUGAGAGCAACCAGCCUGGAUUCCCAGAGAAGCAGGAGGAAAAUGUGGAGACGCUCUCUGUGCAAACUCACCUACGGAAAGACCCCAGCUCCUGCCAUGUCCUGCCUCCCACAUAGUGACCCGUGUUCAGAGGCAAGGGAAACCAAAGCAAAAAUGAACUAUUGGGACC
Molecule: long non-coding RNA, 438 nt
Organism: Lynx canadensis (Canada lynx)
Lineage: Eukaryota; Metazoa; Chordata; Mammalia; Carnivora; Felidae
Exons: 3
Source: RefSeq, a predicted model, not a curated record